This 442-nucleotide ribosomal RNA is filed under the name uncultured bacterium. RNAcentral's name for it is "partial 16S ribosomal RNA". It matches the Rfam family "Bacterial small subunit ribosomal RNA", at positions 338 to 795 of the family's 1533-position model. The record is from RNAcentral.
CCUACGGGUGGCAGCAGUGGGGAAUAUUGGGCAAUGGGCGCAAGCCUGACCCAGCAAUGCCGCGUGCAGGAAGAAGGCUUUCGGGUUGUAAACUUCUUUGACCGGGGAAGAGCAGAAGACGGUACCCUGAAAACAAGCCACGGCUAACUACGUGCCAGCAGCCGCGGUAAUACGUAGGUGGCAAGCGUUAUCCGGAUUUACUGGGUGUAAAGGGAGCGCAGACGGCUGUGCAAGUCUGGAGUGAAAGGCGGGGGCCCAACCCCCGGACUGCGCUGGAAACUGUAAAGCUGGAGUGCAGGAGAGGUAAGCGGAAUGCCGAGUGUAGCGGUGAAAUGCGUAGAUAUUAGGAGGAACACCAGUGGCGAAGGCGGCUUACUGGACUGCAACUGACGUUGAGGCUCGAAAGCGUGGGGAGCAAACAGGAUUAGAUACCCGUGUAGUC